UGAAUACGAGACGCUAAGGCGUCGAAGUAGUGUAUGUCAUACUUCCAAGAAAAGCUUGCACUGUCAUAGAUAAAAAACGCCUGUACCAUAACCGACACAGGUGGGUAGGUAGAGUAUACUAAGGGGCGCGAGAUAACUCUCUCUAAGGAACUCGGCAAAAUAACUCCGUAACUUCGGGAGAAGGAGUGCCUUAUUCUUAAGGUUGCAAUAACAAGAUCCAAGCAACUGUUUAUCAAAAACACAGGUCUCCGCUAAGUCGUAAGACGAUGUAUGGGGGCUGACGCCUGCCCAGUGCCAGAAGGUUAAAGAAGCUGGUUAGCAUUUGCGAAGCUAGUAACUGAAGCCCUGGUGAACGGCGGCCGUAACAAUAACGGUCCUAAGGUAGCGAAAUUCCUUGUCGGGUAAGUUCCGACCCGCACGAAAGGCGUAAUGAUUUGGAUACUGUCUCGGAGAGGGGCUCGGUGAAAUAGACUUGUCUGUGAAGAUGCGGACUACCUGCACCAGGACAGAAAGACCCUAUGAAGCUUUACUGUAACUUGAAAUUGAAAUUGGACUUUAUUCGCGCAGUAUAGGUGGGAGGCGUUGAUUAUAAUCUUGCGGGAUUAUUGGAGCCAUUAGUGAGAUACCACUCUUGUAAUGUUAGAUUUCUAACUUUGAAUCAUUAUCUGGUCAAAGAACAGUUUCAGGCGGGCAGUUUGACUGGGGCGGUCGCCUCCCAAACGGUAACGGAGGCGUACAAAGGUUUCCUCUGAACGGUUAGAAAUCGUAUCUAGAGUGUAAAGGCAUAAGGAAGCUUGACUGUGAGACCUACAAGUCGAGCAGGGACGAAAGUCGGUCUUAAUGAUCUGACGGUACUGAGUGGAAAGGCCGUCACUCAACGGAUAAAAGUUACUCUAGGAUAACAGGCUGAUCUCCCCCAAGAGUUCACAUCGACGGGGAGGUUUGGCACCUCGAUGUCGGCUCAUCGCAUCCUGGGGCGGUAGUACGUCCCAAGGGUUGGGCUGUUCGCCCAUGAAAGCGGUACGCGAGCUGGGUUCAGAACGUCGUGAGACAGUUCGGUCCAUAUCCGGUGUAGGCGUUAGAAUAUUGAGAGGAGCCUUCUUUAGUACGAGAGGACCGAGAAGGACAUACCUCUGGUGUACCAGUUAUCGUGCCAACGGUAGACGCUGGGUAGCUAUGUAUGGAGUGGAUAACCGCUGAAAGCAUCUAAGUGGGAAGCCCACCUCAAGAUAAG
Molecule: ribosomal RNA, 1234 nt
Filed under: metagenome
Description: bacterial LSU rRNA
Rfam family: Bacterial large subunit ribosomal RNA
Source: RNAcentral